UACAGAGGGGGCAAGCGUUGUUCGGAAUUAUUGGGCGUAAAGAGCUCGUAGGCGGUCUGUUGCGUCGGCUGUGAAAACCCGGGGCUCAACCCCGGGCCUGCAGCCGAUACGGGCAGACUAGAGUUCGGCAGGGGAGACUGGAAUUCCUGGUGUAGCGGUGAAAUGCGCAGAUAUCAGGAGGAACACCGGUGGCGAAGGCGGGUCUCUGGGCCGAUACUGACGCUGAGGAGCGAAAGCGUGGGGAGCGAACAGG
Molecule: ribosomal RNA, 253 nt
Filed under: uncultured bacterium
Lineage: Bacteria
Description: partial 16S ribosomal RNA
Rfam family: Bacterial small subunit ribosomal RNA
Source: RNAcentral